Molecule: ribosomal RNA, 330 nt
Filed under: uncultured eukaryote
Lineage: Eukaryota
Description: partial 18S ribosomal RNA
Rfam family: Eukaryotic small subunit ribosomal RNA
Source: RNAcentral
CCCUUAGAUGUUCGGAGCUGCACGCGCGCUACACUGAAGGAAGCAGCGUGUUAGAGCACCUGGCUUGAAAGAGCUGGGUAAUCCGGUGAAUGUCCUUCGUGAUUGGGAUAGGGACUUGUAAUUAUUUCCCUUGAACGAGGAAUACCUAGUAAGUGCGAGUCAUCAGCUUGCGCUGACUUACGUCCCUGCCCCUUGUACACACCGCCCGUCGCUACUACUGAUUGGAUGUUUAAGCGAGGUUCUCGAACUGCUAGCGACUUAGCUUCGGUGAGGUCGCAGUGUGGGAAGUGAACCUAGCUUUGGUGUCUAGAGGAAGUAAAAGUCGUAACA